Molecule: ribosomal RNA, 482 nt
Filed under: uncultured bacterium
Lineage: Bacteria
Description: partial 16S ribosomal RNA
Rfam family: Bacterial small subunit ribosomal RNA
Source: RNAcentral
AUUGAACGCUGGCGGCAUGCUUUACACAUGCAAGUCGAACGGUAACAGGCCGCAAGGUGCUGACGAGUGGCGAACGGGUGAGUAAUGCAUCGGAACGUGCCCAGUCGUGGGGGAUAACUACUCGAAAGAGUAGCUAAUACCGCAUACGAUCUAUGGAUGAAAGCGGGGGACCGUAAGGCCUCGCGCGAUUGGAGCGGCCGAUGUCAGAUUAGGUAGUUGGUGGGGUAAAGGCUCACCAAGCCGACGAUCUGUAGCUGGUCUGAGAGGACGACCAGCCACACUGGGACGGGGACACGGCCCAGACGCCUACGGGAGGCAGCAGUGGGGAAUUGUGGACAAUGGGCGCAAGCCUGAUCCAGCAAUGCCGCGUGCAGGAAGAAGGCCUUCGGGUUGUAAACUGCUUUUGUACGGAACGAAACGGCUCUGGUUAAUACCCGGGGCUAAUGACGGUACCGGAAGAAUAAGCACCGGCUAACUACGUG